UUGCUAACUGCUUGCUGGUUAUUGCUUGAUUCAAAGUCCAAAGGGAAAAUGGGUUUUCUAUAUGGAAUUCUUGUCUGUUGGAUUGCAUCCCAUUGGUCAUAACUUUUCAACUCUUAACUUUUAAUUUUAUGCUUAGGAUUAGUCUCUUCAUCUCCUCCCACUUCUUAAAUUUCAAAAACCUCUCCCCCAUUUUCAAAAACUUUCUUUGCUUGUGAUUUCAAAACUUAGAACUAUUUCA
This 238-nucleotide long non-coding RNA is filed under the name Lathyrus oleraceus (garden pea). RNAcentral describes it as "Pisum sativum (pea) long non-coding RNA (PSAT_LNC011509)". Lineage: Eukaryota; Viridiplantae; Streptophyta; Magnoliopsida; Fabales; Fabaceae. The record is from RNAcentral.